This 420-nucleotide ribosomal RNA is filed under the name Fusobacteriota bacterium. RNAcentral describes it as "Fusobacteria bacterium partial 16S ribosomal RNA". It matches the Rfam family "Bacterial small subunit ribosomal RNA", at positions 355 to 776 of the family's 1533-position model. The record is from RNAcentral. Lineage: Bacteria; Fusobacteriati; Fusobacteriota.
UGGGGGAUAUUGCACAAUGGGCGAAAGCCUGAUGCAGCGACGCCGCGUGGGGGAUGAAGGCCUUCGGGUUGUAAACUUCUUUUGCUCUGAACAAGGCAUGCCUUUGGGGUGUGUUGAGUGUAUGGGUUGAUUAGCGCCGGCUAACUACGUGCCAGCAGCCGCGGUAAUACGUAGGGCGCGAGCGUUGUCCGGAAUUAUUGGGCGUAAAGGGCUUGUAGGUGGCUGGUUGCGUCUGUCGUGAAAGCUCAUGGCUUAACUGUCGGUUUGCGGUGGGUACGGGCUGGCUUGAGUGCAGUAGGGGAGGCUGGAAUUCCUGGUGUAGCGGUGGAAUGCGCAGAUAUCAGGAGGAAUAACGGUGGCGAAGGCGGGUCUCUGGGCUGUUACUGACGCUGAGGAGCGAAAGCGUGGGGAGCGAACAGG